UUACCCAGAUGUUUGGAAUGAAAAAAGAUAAAUCAAAAAAUCAACGAAAGAGGAAAGAUCUUAUGACUGACGCAAGGGAUUGGAUUCAGAAAAUCGGAUUUCAGUUUCUGAUUCUGUCACAAGCUUCCUGUGUGACCUUAGUUAUGCGAAUUCUGAACAACAUAAUUGUUCAUGCAUACAAUCUGAGAAACGAAAUGGGCCAGGAGAAAAAUACCAGACUAUAUUAUUUUGUAUUCUAUAGGAAAUGUAAAACAUAUAGGAUAAAAUGAACUUUAGCAAUAUGACAACGGAUACUGAACUGGGAUCAUGAAAACAGCUUUUGGAGGAUGGAAACUGGAUAUAGAAGUUCUACUGUUUCAUUAGAUAUUACACUGACAUCUACAACACGUUUUUUUCUUUUCAUUGGGCUUUAAUCUGGAGUUCCUGUUUGAAUGAAUAACUCAUUCCACAUCUGACCACACCCAUCAGUUUCAAGGUAUGUACUCAAAAGAGAAGAUAUACUCCUCUGCCUUAAAACUGCCUUUCUAACGGUAAAUACAAAAAUAUAAAAGUUCUACAUGAAUAUUAUUUUCUUGCCUCUCAGAAAUGUCAAUGUGUGUAGACGUUGUUUAUCUAUGUGUCCAAAGAAUGUUCUUGUUAAUACACAACUCCUGACAUUAAUACAUGGAGAUGUUUUAAUGAAUACUUUUUAAAAACAAAGGCUUAGAAAUACUGAAGGCUGAUUCUUUAAUUCAAACAAAUAAUAAUUACCUUAUCAGAAAAGUAUUUGAUUGGAGCCUUUUGCUAGGAGAUACUGUUUAGGAGGGUUUUGAACUGAUUCAUCCAGGAUAUAAUUGAGGCAAUCUGACGAGGCUAUAUUACCUGUAAAUUCCUGUUUUGCUGAAUUAUUUCUAUCACAGAAAAAAACAAAAAACAAAACAAAACAAAAAAACACCUAAAAGUGUACUUUCAGAGCAGCUAUCUUCUUAAUAUUCUAAAAAAUAUAUAUAAGUAAAAAAUCUAGAUUUUGAUCUUUCCAUUUGAGAUAACAUUUAGCCUUGAAAUUAUGAACCAGCAGAAUUUUAUUCAUACUAACAUGUACAUGUACAGUAUCUCCAAGUUUGGAGACUCCUUUGAAAGUCAAUUUCUUCAUUUGUAAGAUGGAUGUAAUUUUCCUAGACUUUUUGAAGGUUAAUUAUUUAUCAUUUGCAUAUUGCACUAAACAGUUAAACUUUAACAUGGAUACUAUUAAUGAUAUUACUGUGUAACAAUACCAAUACAUAAAGGUUUGUAUCAGGUUGUCUAAAGUUAUAACAUCUUCAUAUGAAAACUAUCACUGCAGAUUGCUUACUCUCUUGUAUUGACUAAUCCUAGUGGGAUUAUAUGAGGAUAAAACUAGCAUAAGUGGAAAAAUAUGAACUGGCCUACAUUUAUAAAUUGUUCUUUGAUGUUGUACCCUGAAUAAAAACACAAAUUUAGUCA
RNAcentral lists this long non-coding RNA (1461 nucleotides) under Anas platyrhynchos platyrhynchos (common mallard). RNAcentral describes it as "lncRNA (ENSAPLG00000030145.1)". Lineage: Eukaryota; Metazoa; Chordata; Aves; Anseriformes; Anatidae. The record is from RNAcentral.